AUUCAUCGUUUGGGGUGGCGCACAGCGUCUGAGAUAAUACCCAUUGAACCUGAUCCGGAUAAUACUGGCGAAGGGAAGAGCGGACAAGAAAAUAG
RNAcentral lists this non-coding RNA (95 nucleotides) under Desulfobacter postgatei. Its description in RNAcentral is "TPP sequence". It matches the Rfam family "TPP riboswitch aptamer (THI element)". Rfam says of the family: Vitamin B(1) in its active form thiamin pyrophosphate (TPP) is an essential coenzyme that is synthesised by coupling of pyrimidine and thiazole moieties in bacteria. The previously detected thiamin-regulatory element, thi box was extended, resulting in a new, highly conserved RNA secondary structure, the THI element, which is widely distributed in eubacteria and also occurs in some archaea. Analysis of operon structures identified a large number of new candidate thiamin-regulated genes, mostly transporters, in various prokaryotic organisms. RNAcentral also lists the same sequence under 1 other name. Lineage: Bacteria; Pseudomonadati; Thermodesulfobacteriota; Desulfobacteria; Desulfobacterales; Desulfobacteraceae. The record is from RNAcentral.